Long non-coding RNA from Pelmatolapia mariae (spotted tilapia), 903 nucleotides. RefSeq lists it as uncharacterized. Lineage: Eukaryota; Metazoa; Chordata; Actinopteri; Cichliformes; Cichlidae. The transcript has 3 exons. The record is from RefSeq and is a predicted model, not a curated record.
GACUUUCACCUUCAAAUGAUACAGGAAGUGAAGCAACAGCACAGAAUAUCAAAGAGGACAAUAUCUAUGAAGAAAUAGAGGAGCAUUUCCAGAGUCCAGGCUCAGAAAAUGCCACAAACACGGUUUAUCUCACCGUCGAUCAUCCUACAAACCAUCCUGCCUCACUCCAUUAUUCCACCAUCAACUUUCCGAUCAGCUCUGACAUAGCUGCUGCUGAGACACUGAUCCUCACACCCAGCUCAUCUGCCUGCAAAUAUUCGACUGUGAAGCACAGCAGGAGUCUGACUACGUCGACUGCCACACACCCACCCAGACCUCCACAGGAGCCUCUCUACUCAAAAGUCAACACGUUGAAGCCAAAACAGAAAUAAGACUCUCACUCAUGAAAUCCACCCCUCACCACCUCACACACACCUCAGCUGGAGCCAUCCAAACCUCAGUCUUCAUCCUCAGAUCCACCACCUAGACUCUGGGGGGUCCUGUCCCAAAUCUUAUCACUGCUGGGAUUGUGUUCUGCCAUGAUGGGCUGUUGGAGUCUCACUGCCAAAUACAAUCAUUUCUCUAUGUCAGUAAAUCAUGUUCUUUUAAAUUAAAUCUCCUUAUUGAAACACUUUUGAGACAUUAUUUGAGUGCUUAAUCUCCUCUCUGACACAUCCCUGGUAUCCUUUUAACAAUCCCACAGACUGUACAUAUAAACAAUUCACAAACCAUUUCAGCAUUUGUCUUCACUAGUGCCAAUAUUGAAUGAUUUGCAUUUUACAGGGAUCACAGAAAAACCUCUGCUAGAGGUUCAGAUUAGUUGGUAUUUUUUUACUGGGGAGAAUGAAACAGAUGUGCUGUGGGCGCAAAUUUUCAGGACAUUUGAGGUUAAUUUAAACACAACAAGAUGUCCAUCUCAUUGUU